RNAcentral lists this long non-coding RNA (1232 nucleotides) under Anas zonorhyncha (Eastern spot-billed duck). RNAcentral's name for it is "lncRNA (ENSAZOG00000003735.1)". The record is from RNAcentral. Lineage: Eukaryota; Metazoa; Chordata; Aves; Anseriformes; Anatidae.
UACUGGGAUUACUGGGAGCACUGGUGGUACUGGGAAUACUGGGGAUACUGGGGGGGAAUGGGGAGUACCAAGGGCACUGGAGGGUACGCGGGGUUACUGGGGGACACUACUGGGGGUACUGGGGAUACUGGGGAGUACCGGGGGCACUGGAGGGUACUGGGAAUACUGGGGGGCUGGGCGGGGUACUGGGGUGCUGGGGAUAGUGGAGGUACUGGGAGCACUGGGCCACUGGGAGGCGCUGGUGGUACUGGGAAUACUGGGGGGACUGGGAGGGGACUGCGGGCACCGGGGAUAGUGGAGGCACUGGAGGUACUGGGAGCACUGGGCCACUGGGAGGCGCUGGUGGUACUGGGAAUACUGGGGGGACUGGGGGAUACUGGGGACACUGCAGAUACUGGGGACACUGCAGAUACUGGGGAUACUGGGAGCACAGGGACACCGGGGGUUCUGCAGGAUACUGGGGGUACUGGAGGAACUGGGGGAUACUGGGGGGAGGCACUGGAGGCACUGGGAGCACUGGGGGCACUGGGGAUACUGGGUGGCAGUAGUGGAACUGGAAGCACUGGGAGGUACUGGGGCACUGAGGGAUACUGGGGGGCCGCUUGGGGACACUGGGCAUACUGGGAGCACUGGGAAGUAGGGGUACUGGGAGCACUGGGAGUUACUGGGGAUACUGGGAGCACUGGGGAUAGGGGGAUGCUGGAGGUACUGGGUGGAUACUGGAGGGCACUGGGGGGUACUGGGAACACUGGGGGGUAUUAGGGGAUACUGGGAGCAGUGGAGGGUUACUGGGAGCACUGGGGAUGGGGGAUUGUGAGGGAUAGUGGGGCAUACUGGGAGCACUGGGAGCUACUGGGACGUACUGGGAGCACUGGGGAGGAGGAGAUAUUGGGAGCACUGGGCGUUACUGGAAGCACUGGGCCAUACUGGGAGCACUGGGAGUUACUGGGACGUACUGGGAGCACUGGAGAUGAGGAGUUACUGGGAGCACUGGGAGUUACUGGGCCGUACUGGGAGCACUGGGGAGGAGGAGUUAUUGGGAGCACUGGGCCGUACUGGGAGCACUGGGAGUUACUGGGACAUACUGGGAGCACUGGGCCAUACUGGGAGCGCUGGCCCCGCCUCCCCGGAAGCCCCGCCCCCCCGCCCCUCGAUCCUUGACGUCAUCACUGGGCGCCGCGCGCGCCGCGCCAGGCCCCUCCCCUUCCGUGACGUCACAAUCAGGCGCCCCC